This 813-nucleotide small RNA is filed under the name Pongo abelii (Sumatran orangutan). Its description in RNAcentral is "processed transcript". The record is from RNAcentral. Lineage: Eukaryota; Metazoa; Chordata; Mammalia; Primates; Hominidae.
GUGGGCCCCGCCCUCUACGGGGGCACUGGCGCGGAAACUGGCCCUGUGUCCAAGAAAGAACGUACUUUGGCGUUCUUAUGAGCUGUCUAGUACAAAUUAUUGGCAGAAACAAUGAAUUAAACAUUCAAAAAGUAACCCACCGGCCGGCCGCAGCGGCUCACGCCUGUAAUCCCAGCACUUUGGGAAGCUGAGGCGGGCGGAUCACCUGAGGUUGGGAGUUCGAUACCAGCCUGACCAAUAUGGAGAAACCCCGUCUCUACUAAAACUACAAAAUUAGCCGGGCGUGGUGGCGCAUGCCUGUAAUCCCAACUACUCGGGAGGUUGAGGCAGGAGAAUCUCUUGAACUUGGGAGGCGGAAGUUGCAGUCCAGCACUAUUGGCACCAGGUCACCAGGACCCACUUCAGCACAAGGAAUGUCAUCAAGGUGCCACUGCAGAAGCGGGCAGUGCCCUCCAUGAGGUGCGAAACUGUCUUCAAGCUGACUCCUGAAUUCUUCAGUCCUGGAAAGUCCAGGGGCCUAGAUUCUCAACAAUGCGCACAAAGGCAGAGAUGGGGAUACCGGAGGAGCCUCCAGGAAUCAUGGGCCCAGAACCUGCUCUCUCCACAGCACCCAUGUCCAGGCCCACCUUCAGGUAUCCACACCCACUCUGAGCCCAUCUUUUGUGCUACCUCCAUUUCAAACACCUGUUUACUGCCUCAGGACAGUUCCUGGAAAACAUGGCAGGUGCCUUGGUGUCUCCAUGAUGGUCAGACUCGCCCCGCCUUGGACAUGUGUCAAGAGAUGGAGCAGCUGCUGCUUCACUCACAGGAAAG